This 2924-nucleotide ribosomal RNA is filed under the name Shigella sonnei. RNAcentral describes it as "bacterial LSU rRNA". It matches the Rfam family "Bacterial large subunit ribosomal RNA". The record is from RNAcentral. Lineage: Bacteria; Pseudomonadati; Pseudomonadota; Gammaproteobacteria; Enterobacterales; Enterobacteriaceae.
GGUUAAGCGACUAAGCGUACACGGUGGAUGCCCUGGCAGUCAGAGGCGAUGAAGGACGUGCUAAUCUGCGAUAAGCGUCGGUAAGGUGAUAUGAACCGUUAUAACCGGCGAUUUCCGAAUGGGGAAACCCAGUGUGAUUCGUCACACUAUCAUUAACUGAAUCCAUAGGUUAAUGAGGCGAACCGGGGGAACUGAAACAUCUAAGUACCCCGAGGAAAAGAAAUCAACCGAGAUUCCCCCAGUAGCGGCGAGCGAACGGGGAGCAGCCCAGAGCCUGAAUCAGUGUGUGUGUUAGUGGAAGCGUCUGGAAAGGCGCGCGAUACAGGGUGACAGCCCCGUACACAAAAAUGCACAUAUUGUGAGCUCGAUGAGUAGGGCGGGACACGUGGUAUCCUGUCUGAAUAUGGGGGGCCCAUCCUCCAAGGCUAAAUACUCCUGACUGACCGAUAGUGAACCAGUACCGUGAGGGAAAGGCGAAAAGAACCCCGGCGAGGGGAGUGAAAAAGAACCUGAAACCGUGUACGUACAAGCAGUGGGAGCACGCUUAGGCGUGUGACUGCGUACCUUUUGUAUAAUGGGUCAGCGACUUAUAUUCUGUAGCAAGGUUAACCGAAUAGGGGAGCCGAAGGGAAACCGAGUCUUAACUGGGCGUUAAGUUGCAGGGUAUAGACCCGAAACCCGGUGAUCUAGCCAUGGGCAGGUUGAAGGUUGGGUAACACUAACUGGAGGACCGAACCGACUAAUGUUGAAAAAUUAGCGGAUGACUUGUGGCUGGGGGUGAAAGGCCAAUCAAACCGGGAGAUAGCUGGUUCUCCCCGAAAGCUAUUUAGGUAGCGCCUCGUGAAUUCAUCUCCGGGGGUAGAGCACUGUUUCGGCAAGGGGGUCAUCCCGACUUACCAACCCGAUGCAAACUGCGAAUACCGGAGAAUGUUAUCACGGGAGACACACGGCGGGUGCUAACGUCCGUCGUGAAGAGGGAAACAACCCAGACCGCCAGCUAAGGUCCCAAAGUCAUGGUUAAGUGGGAAACGAUGUGGGAAGGCCCAGACAGCCAGGAUGUUGGCUUAGAAGCAGCCAUCAUUUAAAGAAAGCGUAAUAGCUCACUGGUCGAGUCGGCCUGCGCGGAAGAUGUAACGGGGCUAAACCAUGCACCGAAGCUGCGGCAGCGACGCUUAUGCGUUGUUGGGUAGGGGAGCGUUCUGUAAGCCUGCGAAGGUGUGCUGUGAGGCAUGCUGGAGGUAUCAGAAGUGCGAAUGCUGACAUAAGUAACGAUAAAGCGGGUGAAAAGCCCGCUCGCCGGAAGACCAAGGGUUCCUGUCCAACGUUAAUCGGGGCAGGGUGAGUCGACCCCUAAGGCGAGGCCGAAAGGCGUAGUCGAUGGGAAACAGGUUAAUAUUCCUGUACUUGGUAUUACUGCGAAGGGGGGACGGAGAAGGCUAUGUUGGCCGGGCGACGGUUGUCCCGGUUUAAGCGUGUAGGCUGGUUUUCCAGGCAAAUCCGGAAAAUCAAGGCUGAGGCGUGAUGACGAGGCACUACGGUGCUGAAGCAACAAAUGCCCUGCUUCCAGGAAAAGCCUCUAAGCAUCAGGUAACAUCAAAUCGUACCCCAAACCGACACAGGUGGUCAGGUAGAGAAUACCAAGGCGCUUGAGAGAACUCGGGUGAAGGAACUAGGCAAAAUGGUGCCGUAACUUCGGGAGAAGGCACGCUGAUAUGUAGGUGAAGUCCCUUGCGGAUGGAGCUGAAAUCAGUCGAAGAUACCAGCUGGCUGCAACUGUUUAUUAAAAACACAGCACUGUGCAAACACGAAAGUGGACGUAUACGGUGUGACGCCUGCCCGGUGCCGGAAGGUUAAUUGAUGGGGUCAGCGCAAGCGAAGCUCUUGAUCGAAGCCCCGGUAAACGGCGGCCGUAACUAUAACGGUCCUAAGGUAGCGAAAUUCCUUGUCGGGUAAGUUCCGACCUGCACGAAUGGCGUAAUGAUGGCCAGGCUGUCUCCACCCGAGACUCAGUGAAAUUGAACUCGCUGUGAAGAUGCAGUGUACCCGCGGCAAGACGGAAAGACCCCGUGAACCUUUACUAUAGCUUGACACUGAACAUUGAGCCUUGAUGUGUAGGAUAGGUGGGAGGCUUUGAAGUGUGGACGCCAGUCUGCAUGGAGCCGGCCUUGAAAUACCACCCUUUAAUGUUUGAUGUUCUAACGUGGACCCGUGAUCCGGGUUGCGGACAGUGUCUGGUGGGUAGUUUGACUGGGGCGGUCUCCUCCUAAAGAGUAACGGAGGAGCACGAAGGUUGGCUAAUCCUGGUCGGACAUCAGGAGGUUAGUGCAAUGGCAUAAGCCAGCUUGACUGCGAGCGUGACGGCGCGAGCAGGUGCGAAAGCAGGUCAUAGUGAUCCGGUGGUUCUGAAUGGAAGGGCCAUCGCUCAACGGAUAAAAGGUACUCCGGGGAUAACAGGCUGAUACCGCCCAAGAGUUCAUAUCGACGGCGGUGUUUGGCACCUCGAUGUCGGCUCAUCACAUCCUGGGGCUGAAGUAGGUCCCAAGGGUAUGGCUGUUCGCCAUUUAAAGUGGUACGCGAGCUGGGUUUAGAACGUCGUGAGACAGUUCGGUCCCUAUCUGCCGUGGGCGCUGGAGAACUGAGGGGGGCUGCUCCUAGUACGAGAGGACCGGAGUGGACGCAUCACUGGUGUUCGGGUUGUCAUGCCAAUGGCACUGCCCGGUAGCUAAAUGCGGAAGAGAUAAGUGCUGAAAGCAUCUAAGCACGAAACUUGCCCCGAGAUGAGUUCUCCCUGACCCUUUAAGGGUCCUGAAGGAACGUUGAAGACGACGACGUUGAUAGGCCGGGUGUGUAAGCGCAGCGAUGCGUUGAGCUAACCGGUACUAAUGAACCGUGAGGCUUAACCUUACAACGCCGAAGAUGUUUUG